RNAcentral lists this long non-coding RNA (831 nucleotides) under Homo sapiens (human). RNAcentral's name for it is "HSALNT0087335". Lineage: Eukaryota; Metazoa; Chordata; Mammalia; Primates; Hominidae. The record is from RNAcentral.
UUUGUAUGGCAGUUCUGUUUUCACUCUAUUAAAUCUUGCAACUGCACACUCCUCUGGUCCCUGUUUGUUAUGUCUCAAGCUGAGGUUUCGCUAGCCGUCCACCACUGCUAUUUGCUGCCGUGGCAGACCUGCUGCUGACUUCCACCCCUCUGGAUCCGGAAGGGAGUCUGCUGUACUCCUGAUCCAGCAAGGUGCCCAUUGCUACUCCUGAUCGGACUAAAGGCUUGCCAUUGUUCCUGCACAGCUAAGUGUCCGGGUUCAUCCUAAUUGAGCUGAACACUAGUCGCUGGGUUCCACCAUUCUCUUCCAUGACCCGCGGCUUCUAAUAGAGCUAUAACACUCACCGCAUGGCCCAAGAUUCCAUUCCUUGGAAUCCAUGAGGCCAAGAACCCCAGGUCAGAGAACAAGAGGCUUGCUACCAUCUUGGAAGCGGCCCGCCACCAUCUUGGGAGCUCUGGGAGCAAGCACCUCCGUUAUAUGGAGUACAUGAGUGAAAGAAUGUGCUGCACACCUUCUGUAUGGCUUUGUGAAAGUCACGUAACUUCUUUGGAACUUAGCUUCUUUAUCUGUAAAGGGUAGGUAGGUGUUGGACUUAAUCAACAUCUCCCAAUGACAAUCCAGACCCAGGAGGGAACAAUAUCCGGGUUUUGACUUUAUUUCUUCCCAUUCAUUAGCAAGGAGCUGGGGCUCAGCUCAUUUGUUUCUAUCUCUCCUUCUCUCCUAUACUUCUGAUGUCCGCAAUAAAAAUUUUAGAUAUCAUUCAGAUAUUUGCUGGAAAAAAUCUAGGUGGUUUCUAUGGUCCCUUUUGUUAUGUAGUAUUCCAAAAUCUAU